Molecule: ribosomal RNA, 1520 nt
Filed under: Klebsiella pneumoniae
Lineage: Bacteria; Pseudomonadati; Pseudomonadota; Gammaproteobacteria; Enterobacterales; Enterobacteriaceae
Description: bacterial SSU rRNA
Rfam family: Bacterial small subunit ribosomal RNA
Source: RNAcentral
AGAGUUUGAUCAUGGCUCAGAUUGAACGCUGGCGGCAGGCCUAACACAUGCAAGUCGAGCGGUAGCACAGAGAGCUUGCUCUCGGGUGACGAGCGGCGGACGGGUGAGUAAUGUCUGGGAAACUGCCUGAUGGAGGGGGAUAACUACUGGAAACGGUAGCUAAUACCGCAUAACGUCGCAAGACCAAAGUGGGGGACCUUCGGGCCUCAUGCCAUCAGAUGUGCCCAGAUGGGAUUAGCUAGUAGGUGGGGUAACGGCUCACCUAGGCGACGAUCCCUAGCUGGUCUGAGAGGAUGACCAGCCACACUGGAACUGAGACACGGUCCAGACUCCUACGGGAGGCAGCAGUGGGGAAUAUUGCACAAUGGGCGCAAGCCUGAUGCAGCCAUGCCGCGUGUGUGAAGAAGGCCUUCGGGUUGUAAAGCACUUUCAGCGGGGAGGAAGGCGUUAAGGUUAAUAACCUUGGCGAUUGACGUUACCCGCAGAAGAAGCACCGGCUAACUCCGUGCCAGCAGCCGCGGUAAUACGGAGGGUGCAAGCGUUAAUCGGAAUUACUGGGCGUAAAGCGCACGCAGGCGGUCUGUCAAGUCGGAUGUGAAAUCCCCGGGCUUAACCUGGGAACUGCAUUCGAAACUGGCAGGCUAGAGUCUUGUAGAGGGGGGUAGAAUUCCAGGUGUAGCGGUGAAAUGCGUAGAGAUCUGGAGGAAUACCGGUGGCGAAGGCGGCCCCCUGGACAAAGACUGACGCUCAGGUGCGAAAGCGUGGGGAGCAAACAGGAUUAGAUACCCUGGUAGUCCACGCCGUAAACGAUGUCGAUUUGGAGGUUGUGCCCUUGAGGCGUGGCUUCCGGAGCUAACGCGUUAAAUCGACCGCCUGGGGAGUACGGCCGCAAGGUUAAAACUCAAAUGAAUUGACGGGGGCCCGCACAAGCGGUGGAGCAUGUGGUUUAAUUCGAUGCAACGCGAAGAACCUUACCUGGUCUUGACAUCCACAGAACUUAGCAGAGAUGCUUUGGUGCCUUCGGGAACUGUGAGACAGGUGCUGCAUGGCUGUCGUCAGCUCGUGUUGUGAAAUGUUGGGUUAAGUCCCGCAACGAGCGCAACCCUUAUCCUUUGUUGCCAGCGGUCCGGCCGGGAACUCAAAGGAGACUGCCAGUGAUAAACUGGAGGAAGGUGGGGAUGACGUCAAGUCAUCAUGGCCCUUACGACCAGGGCUACACACGUGCUACAAUGGCAUAUACAAAGAGAAGCGACCUCGCGAGAGCAAGCGGACCUCAUAAAGUAUGUCGUAGUCCGGAUUGGAGUCUGCAACUCGACUCCAUGAAGUCGGAAUCGCUAGUAAUCGUAGAUCAGAAUGCUACGGUGAAUACGUUCCCGGGCCUUGUACACACCGCCCGUCACACCAUGGGAGUGGGUUGCAAAAGAAGUAGGUAGCUUAACCUUCGGGAGGGCGCUUACCACUUUGUGAUUCAUGACUGGGGUGAAGUCGUAACAAGGUAACCGUAGGGGAACCUGCGGUUG